AGCGCGCGAAUCCUGCACCGCGUGAUCCAGUCUACGAUCGCACGUAGGGCGGCGAGGAGCGCGUUCCUGGACCCGCAUCAUCUCGACGACUCGAAAACUCAAAGUGUUCUUCAUGUAAUAACAUUUACAGAAAUCGGAAAUAGAAUACCCGCGCGAAAGUCGCAAUUAACUCGCGAUAAUCCGAGCACUCAGCUGCCCAUAUCAGUCGAAAUAUGCCACAAGCGGGCCACGAGACGACGAACCUUCUGAUGACGUAUUUCAUCCUUAUUCUUCUACUAAUCUCGCUUUGGGUAUUGUACGCGGGGUUGUUUUUUUAAGCGCAACAGACAUUCCUCACCAUGGGCUGAACAACAGAGAAAGCACGUGUCAAAAGGCGGAUGCGUUCGGAGGAUCCAAAAUCGUCACGGACACCUCGCUCGAGGCUCACCAGUUCUCAUUUAUUAUACUUUCUACAAUCUAGGCGCCUGGAGACAUGUUCUACGCAAAUUUAGUGACCGAUUUCCGCGAUGAGAGUCAUUCAAAAAUAUAUACUCACCGGGCAAUAGGAAGAAUUUUAAAACUUUAUUUCCCUCGUUUCGCUUCAUUCUCGCCACUUCGUCGCGGAAAUCGGCUAUCGUUAUUACACUAAUUAUAACUUCUUAUAUAAUUAGCUAUGCAUACGUUAUCUGAAUUCGAAGCAAUCAUUGAAUUGUGCUCAUUUGAGAGGUCACCGAAAUAAAUCAGUUUGUCCCGCCUGCAACUGCGAUGUGAAAAGUGUAUUUUGACAAAUUUCUUCACAAAUUGGUUUGUAGUAUAUAUUUUCGAUUUAUGCGUAACGCCGCAAGCGGUAAAAUAAAUCUCUUCGUUUGGAAAGCCGGCUGCAAUUUAUUUCGCUGUUACUUACCGUACACUCCGGAAAUAGCCCAUUAUCGGGGCAUGCGUAAAGCGGACUACGGAAAAAGAGAGACGUGGCGUAUGAAAAAAAUGCGAAUUUUGUUACGGGGCGCGAAUAGAGAGAACUUUGUGGAGACGCGGACGACGUUGCCCGCGCGUUACGUGGGCGUUUCUCCAAAAAUAGUCGGCGCUUCCAGCUCUCGAAGUUCGACGGUACGUCCGCGUGGAACUAAAUCGGUAUUUUCUACAGCGUGCGCGAAAAUAGACGACAUGAGUUAGUACACAUUUCAAUGCCGGGCCCGCAAUUAGGGCUGUAUUAACAAAAAAACUUUCAAGCGUUACGUAAGGCAGGGGAUCCGUGAGACCGUGUCACGGGUGACACGAAACGCAAGUAUCGAGUUUCUCGCUCGUUGUAUUCGAACACCUCUCAAAUACCGUCCUGUACGAUAUUAAUAUCCACUGUUUUUUGUACUCGCACGAGAUAUUCGUUCUUCUAGCCUCGUUAUUCGAUAAUUUAUACGUCCCGUAUAUUCGCCAAGUCAAACAGCGGGUUUACCCGCCUCUAACAGGUCGCGUGUUUUUGUAUGCUUCUUCCAUCCCGAACAAAUCUGCCAUCUCCGUACUUGACCGUACCGGAACGUGUCCCGUUAUAUUUGCAUAUCGCUAUUUCAAAUGUUCCUUAUAUUAUUGCCAACAUUAACGGACAGGUGCGUGCAGGUGCGGAUGACGAAACGCGCGAAUUAAAUAAGAUACGCACACGCGCGAGUGCGCAAUUGACGUGUCGCGUUACGUAAGUGAUUGACACUCGAGGGGGAUCGAAAAUCGCAACGUUACUCGUAACUUACGCGGAUUGUUUGUUAUUACUAUUUUGUUCUGAUGACGACCGCGCGGUAUCAUAAGACACUCGUAGUAGUAAAUAUUUUCACGGGCGUGGACUUAAAUGUUACAGCAGCGCUCCAGUAACCGCUCGAAAUAGAUCUAAUCGCUCCAGAUUCGUAGUUGCUCGAUGCGGCAUCCGCACACCCGGUGUCCCGAAAGAUGUUUAUGUAUGUCGGCGUAGCAAUGCCAAGCGUUUCCUCGGUUGCUCUACCUUCCUGAAAUGCGAUAUUUAAUUAGAUUAAGAAGAAGAACCAACUGCCCAAUGCUAAUAAUUUGUGAAUUAUUUUAUGCAUUUGUCAAUAAAUGACACGACUAAUUAAGUAAAUGUUUUACUUUUACUUUUAUUUUUAUGUAUUAUGAUGAAAUAUUAAUUGUCUCGCCAAUAUUAAUAUGAAACUGAGGACUUCAGGCCGAAACGUUUACUUAAUUAGUCGUAAUUAUUAGAGAAUUAUAUUAGAGAAUAAAAUAAUAUUCACAACUUGUUAGUGUCCGCGUAGUUAGCCUUUCUCCCCUUUAAUUUGCACUCGGAUUUACACUGUAAUAAACAAGCUUAACUUCCUUUUAA
This is a long non-coding RNA of Vollenhovia emeryi, 2317 nucleotides long. RefSeq lists it as uncharacterized. NCBI's taxonomy places the organism in Eukaryota, Metazoa, Arthropoda, Insecta, Hymenoptera, Formicidae. The transcript is spliced from 3 exons. The record is from RefSeq and is a predicted model, not a curated record.